GCAAUUUUUACAAAGUUAAAAACCGCUUGGGUACCGAAGCGUCCUCUGGCGUUGUGUUGUUUACUACUCUGUGUUCGCCGGUUUGGCUUUGGUUUUCCCUUUUUCCAACUGAGUAAUUGUUCGAAAUAAUUCCGAGAUACUAUUUAAAAUGUCAAGUGAAGUGGCUGAGGUUGUGACCGAAAACAAUCAGCAUGAUGCUGCUGAGGCCAAAGGAAAAAAGGGUUUAGUGAAGAAACUGUCUGCUCUGGAACGGACCACCCAAGAAGGUGAAGCACUGCUCAAAGAAAUGGGAUACAAGGAAGAUGGAGAAGAUCAAGGUAGACGGAGAACAAGGUCGGGAGCAAAAGUAGUCCCUGCAGCGUCCCCACCCCCAGCCAAGAAAGAGAAGAAAACUCCAAAAAAGACACCUAAAUCUCCUUCAGCUGGUACUGGUCGCAGAGGGAGGCCCCCAAAGAAAAGUGUCAAUGACAGCUCAACAGAAAAUGAAGAAUCUGAAAUGAAGGAUGAGGAAAGAACAGAGGUAAGCACAGAAGAAGCCAAAGAUGACACAAAGCCAAUUGAGGAAGCAGCCAACGAAGAAAAAGAAAAACAAGAAACAGAGAAGCAAGAAACAGAGGAAAACAACAAGAAAGAAAACAACGAUGCCGCUACCACUAGUGAGCCGAUCAAAGAGAAAGAAGACAGCUCAGAACCGAAAGAAGAGAGUAAAGCCUCAGAAUAAAAAAACAAACAAACAAACAAAAACGUUAAAUGUAACUGCCAAAACCUCUCCUAUAAUCCUGAUCACCCUAACCCCUUUUUUUAAACAAAAGUAUAUUGCGUUCUAAGCAACAAAAAAAUACGAAAAGAAAAAAAGAAAUAAUAAUAAGUACGGUAAUCGUUUGAAUGUUUGAAGCAAAUACGGAAGCAGAUUUGGAGUAGUAAUUUGUGUUUCUCUUUUUAGUUUAUUAUAUAUUUUUUUUCGUUUGGGGUUUUGUUUGUUUUAGUCUCUUCUUCUUGAUUAUUUUUUAUUAUUAUUAUUUUUUUAUUUUUUUUUUUCAUUUUACUUUCCCAAUUGUGCCACAUUUUUCCGGCUUAGGGGUAAGUUUAGGAGCGUUUUCUUAUUCUUUUGGAGAAUAUUGGGAUGAAUGUAAUUCUGAGAGUGCAAAAGUUGCCAUUGCAAUGCAUCUUGCGUUGUUUUACCUAGAGCUCCCCUUCAUUUAACGCCAAUUUGUUAUCAUCAGCUCACAAUUUCAUCCCUGGACCAACGGAUUUGUAUUUCUUUCCUUACAAUACUGUUCAUCCUGCACCGUCGCUACAUGUCUACUACUCCCCAAUGAAUGCGAAUACUGUUUGUCGUAGUAGGCCGUAACCGUUUUUUUUUUUCCACAUUUUCUUUUUGAAUCAAUCGCAUUUGAUUUUAUUCGUGUGACUUGCGUUUUCUUUUUACUUUUUUGUUUUUUUUUAUUAUGCGGGCGAACAUUUGUUUGUUUUUUGCAAAACACAAAUACAAAAAUAAGCAGUUUUUCAUUGCACUGGAUGCCUUCGUGUGUGGUAGUUUUUGGCUUUAAGGAGGUCUGGAAGUCUAAAAAUAAAACACGCUCUUAUACAAAUCCGAGCUGCCGUCCAAGAGGCAGUCUUAAUACAUCUUAGUCUUGCUGCGGAAGUUGUUUUACGUCUGUCCUUUAUUACCUACUGGACCCCAGGCACUUGGAUUGAUGUCCCGGCUUGAAAGUUUUUGAAAAUGCAACACAAUACACAAUACGUUUUAUAUUA
This 1755-nucleotide unclassified non-coding RNA is filed under the name Daphnia magna. RNAcentral's name for it is "dNA ligase 1, transcript variant X1". Lineage: Eukaryota; Metazoa; Arthropoda; Branchiopoda; Diplostraca; Daphniidae. The record is from RNAcentral.